CGGCUCAGUAACACGUGGACAACCUACCCUAUGGAGGGGGAUAACCCCGGGAAACUGGGGAUAAUACCCCAUAGACUAUAGAUGCUGGAAUGCUUUGUAGUUGAAAGGUCCGCCGCCAUAGGAUGGGUCUGCGGCCGAUUAGGUUGUUGUUGGGGUAACGGCCCAACAAGCCUGUAAUCGGUACGGGUUGUGGGAGCAAGAGCCCGGAGAUGGAUUCUGAGACACGAAUCCAGGCCCUACGGGGCGCAGCAGGCGCGAAAACUUUACAAUGCGGGAAACCGUGAUAAGGGAACUCCGAGUGCCCGUAAAAUCGGGCUGUCUAUCUGUUUAAAUAACAGGUGAAGAAAGGGCCGGGCAAGACCGGUGCCAGCCGCCGCGGUAAUACCGGCGGCUCGAGUGGUGGCCACUAUUACUGGGCUUAAAGCGUUCGUAGCUGGUCUGUUAAGUCUCUGGGGAAAUCUACUGGCUUAACCAAUAGGCGUCUCAGGGAUACUGGCAGACUAGGGACCGGGAGAGGUGAGAGGUACUCCAGGGGUAGGAGUGAAAUCCUGUAAUCCUUGGGGGAC
RNAcentral lists this ribosomal RNA (566 nucleotides) under uncultured Methanoregula sp. Its description in RNAcentral is "bacterial SSU rRNA". It matches the Rfam family "Archaeal small subunit ribosomal RNA", at positions 83 to 657 of the family's 1478-position model. The record is from RNAcentral. Lineage: Archaea; Methanobacteriati; Methanobacteriota; Methanomicrobia; Methanomicrobiales; Methanoregulaceae.